AACCUUUCUUCAUACUUCUCUAUUGUUUUGAGAUUAGAACUACAUUUGUCACUUAUGAAUUAUUCCAAAACAGUACGCAAUACUACCGUAUUGAUUGAUGCCUUUGACAAUUAGGAAUCUCAUUGAAGUAAAAUUUAGAGCACUUAUUGAUUGUGAACGACGUAACAAUAUUACUGGUCAUGUUAGUUUUCGAUCUUUUUCCGGAUUGACAUCUUUACCUGCUUGCAAUUUACUUAACGGAAUACCAUACAAUCACUUUGUCAAGCAGAACUUGAUACGAUCUGUUGAACUAAGCAAGCGUGGGACUAGCGACAUAGAUUAUGAAUUCUUCUUAGUGCAUUGACGAUUGCGCCGGAGAU
Molecule: long non-coding RNA, 359 nt
Filed under: Schizosaccharomyces pombe (fission yeast)
Lineage: Eukaryota; Fungi; Ascomycota; Schizosaccharomycetes; Schizosaccharomycetales; Schizosaccharomycetaceae
Source: RNAcentral